RNAcentral lists this ribosomal RNA (252 nucleotides) under uncultured bacterium. RNAcentral describes it as "partial 16S ribosomal RNA". It matches the Rfam family "Bacterial small subunit ribosomal RNA", at positions 527 to 779 of the family's 1533-position model. The record is from RNAcentral.
CGGAGGUGCAAGCGUUAUCCGGAUUCACUGGGUUUAAAGGGUGCGUAGGAGGGUGAGUAAGUCAGUGGUGAAAUCUUCGAGCUUAACUCGGAAACUGCCGUUGAUACUACUUGUCUUGAAUAUCGUGGAGGUGAGCGGAAUAUGCCAUGUAGCGGUGAAAUGCUUAGAUAUGACAUAGAACACCAAUUGCGAAGGCAGCUCGCUACACGAAUAUUGACUCUGAGGCACGAAAGCGUGGGAUCAAACAGGAUU